Non-coding RNA from Oryctolagus cuniculus (rabbit), 3981 nucleotides. The record is from RefSeq and is a predicted model, not a curated record. NCBI's taxonomy places the organism in Eukaryota, Metazoa, Chordata, Mammalia, Lagomorpha, Leporidae.
AAUCCCUAGUUCCUAUUCCUGACUCCACUUUCCUGCUGAUGCAGACUCGGGGAAUCAGCAGGUGAUGACUCAAGUAGUUGGGUCCAUGCCACACAUGUAGAAGACCUGGAUUGAGUUGCCCCUUCCUGGCUUCAGCCUGGCCUGGUCCCAGUCAUUGCAGGCAUUAGUGGAUGAGAACUUUCUCUCUCUGCCUUUCAAAUUUUUAAAAAUGAAAAAAUAAUACAGUAGCGUACGGCCCUUGUUGUCACUCCUUAUCCCUGAGGUGUGCUGGGUCUCUUGGGACAGUGUUGGCUUGUAGACCGACCUGGGGCGGGGGCAGGCAUUUAGCCUGAUCGCUGGCUCUGCUGUUGCUGCAUUCCACUGGGAAGUUCCUGUUUUCUGGUCUUUGUGACCCUCCUGGUUCAGUAUCCUGUGUGUGGGGAUCCUGCACUCCUCAUCCAUCUUGUCCCAAGCCCUGGAUCCUGUGUGGCUGUGGCUCGUGCUGUAUCAUGUUCCUGUUUCUCCAGGACUCACGGAGACUUCUCAGAGUUCUGAGACUGACCUGAGAGCCCCACCACACCAAGGCAUUCCUCAGCCGUUGCCAGGCUUCUCAUCCUUUCCCCGGGCUUCUGCAAUACAGUCCUGUAAACUGGGAGGCUUAUCAACAACACGACUUUAUUUCUCACAGGUCUGAAGGCCAGGAAGUCUGAGAUCAAGAUGCCAAUACAUUCAGUCUCUGAGCGUCUACUUCCUGGUUCACGGAUGGCGCCUUCUAGCUGUGUCCUCACACGGAAGAGAGAGAAGGCGAGAGAGGGCAAGAGCCCUCAAAGCUCUCUGUCCUGUAAGGGCCCUGAUCCCGUUCGUGCAGGAUGCACCUGCAAGACCUCCUUGUACCGUCACCUGGAGGUCUAAAAUUUUACCAUAUGAGUUUUGGGGGACACAGACAUUCAGAGCACAGCGCUAGGCAAUGUCUCUGUGACUGUGCUGGCGUGAGACUUGAACUCCUGAGCUCCCACUUGGGAAGCCAGGCGGUGGCCGCUUUGACCCUGGAGACCCUGUCAGUGUAUCUGGGGUUUCUCUCUCCCCUUCUAUCCAAGGCUUUUGAUCCACAGAGGGAGCCAUUGUAGAGGGCAUUCCCUAUAGAUCUGAACUGUGGGGUGUCCUGGGCUGACCCUUCUUUCGACAGUCAUUGAGCGCUUUCUCUUCCUCUUCCUCACCUCCUUUUCCUUCUCCUUCCUUUUGAAGUAAAAAAAAAAAAAAAAUGUGGUUUUCUUUUUUAAAGAUUUAUUUAGUAUUUGAUAGAGUUACACAGAAAGAAGAGAGGCAGAGAGAGGUCUUCCACCCUGGUUCACUCCCCAAUUGGCCACAAUGCCUGAAGCUGCACUAAUCCAGAGCCGUGCUAAUCCGGAGCCAGGAGCCUCUUCAGGGUCUCCCACGAGGGUGCAGGGGCCCAAGGACUUGGGCCAUCUUCCAUUGCUUUCCCAGGCCAUAGCAGAGAGCUGGAUCGGAAGUGGAGCAGCGGGAACUCGAACCAGUGCCUGUAUGGGAUGCCUGCACUGCAGACGGUGGGUAAUUUACCUGUUACGCACAGUGCCAGUCCCAAAAAACAUGGUUUUCAUCAUGCUACAUUACCCCCCUACCCUCCGUUUUUUAGUUCUUGGUGUAAACUCUGCUGAGCCUUUCAGGAUCCUUGUCUCUUAGGAACUCAACAUGUUGUUUCUCAACCUGCUGCCCGCAGUAGCCACAGAGCUUUGUUCCUAGGUGUUGUCUCCACUCCAGGCUCUAGAAAGUUUGCUGUGGAACUUAAAGGUGAGCAGAGAGUCCUGUGAUUUCACCUUGACUCCUGUCCCCAAGAGCAGUAUGUAAGGAAAACUGCUUUCAUUUGUUUGCUUGUAUUUUUCUAGAAAUGAACAUGAAACGCUUAAGAUCGGAAUUAACACACAGAUCAGUUUAGAAUUCUGUUUGCCUCCCCGCCCCCCCAUGUCCAUCUAAAUAAUGAAGGGAAGGGCAAGGGCUCCAGAAAGCAGCAGGAGAAACCUUGGAUGACAUCUCAGAAUAGCAUGCGCAAUGCCUCACCUAGGAGGAAGCAGCCUGGAGAGGUGCAGGAGCUGGCCCGAGACCACACUCCAGGGCCAGGAUGACUCCAGCCUCCUGCGGCUCUGCCUGGCUGUAAAACAAACGCUAGGGAGUGGGCGUGGGGUUUAAAAGGAAGGCGUUAUCAGUUUCAGAUGCUGCAGAGAGAUCCAGAAAGAUUAGCACAAGGACUGAGGCUUUUCCCAUCAGGGGUCCUCAGAAACCUUGCUGGGGGUUUGAUGCAUCCUGAAAACAUUUUAUUCUGCAUUUCCAGUUUCUGUGCUUUGAAUAAGUUCCUCACUAAAGUUCAUGUUAUGGAAACUUAAUUCCCAAAUUCAUAUGUUAAUAAUAUUUGGAGGUGAGGUCUGUGGGAGGUGAUUAGGAUUUAAUGAGGUCAUGGUGUUAGCGCCUUUAUGAGAAGGAGACCUGAGCUUGCAGCCUGCCCUGUCUCUCUGUGCGAUGCCCCCGGUGGUGCUAUGAAGCAGCAAGGAGGUCCUCACUGGGUGCUGGUGCCAUGCUGUUGGACGCCCCAGUCUCUAGAACUGUGAGCCCAGUAAACUCUGGGACUUUAUAAAUUGCCCAUUUUGUAGUAUUUAGUUAUAGCAACAGGAAAUGGAUAAAGCACCAGUAGUAAAAGAUUCUAAAGACUACACCUCGGGGAUGGGCAUUUAGCCUAGUGGUUAAGGUAUCCAUAUUCCACAUCAGAGUAUCUGCGUUCAGCACCCACCUCUGGCUCGUGACACCAGCUUCCUGCUAAUGUAGAUCCUGGGAGGCAGUAGUGAUGGCUCAAGUCCCUGUGUGGGAGACCUGUGUUGCAUUCCCAGCUCCUGGCUUUGGCUUGGCCCAGUUCUGGCCGUUGUGGGCAUUUGGGGAGUGAAUCAGCAGAAGGGAGCCCUCUGUCUAAUAAAUUUUUUUAAAAAAGACUGGAACAUCAGUAAGGAUAUCAGUACAUGAAAUCCUUGAGUAGUGGAAGUUGUGAAUUUGAAGUUAACAGCAAAAGAGGUGUUUUGAGUGGACAAAAGGGAUCGUGUUGAGGGUAUGAGGGUGCCCCAAAGUGCCUGUAGUAAGGAGCAUCAGAGAGAGGAAUCGCAGCUGAGAUUGCACAGCGGUGGACUCGAGACAGGCUCACAACUGCUAUCCGUGAAGGAAUCCUGUUUUGUAAAGCUUCCUUACAAACUCUUCUCAGCAGUGUCAGUUUGCAAGCUCUCCCUCACUGUGCGAGUGGCGCUGAGCAUGCGGUGUCUGUCACCCCAUCCUGGCAGGCCUGGCCUUGCUGUCCUCUUCUUGCAGGCGGAUUUUAUUUAUUCUGGUAUGCUCCUAAAAGCCCUGUGAUAGCCAAGUUUCUAAGCAAAAGGGCCUCAAAGAGAUCUGUCCCCUGAAGAGCCUCCUGCCGCACCGGGGCUCCCCUGAGUCUUGAAUUAGUGUGGGAGACCUGGAUUGAGAACUCCACGCCCAGCUUCAGUCCUGGCCCUCAGGGGCAUCUGGGGAAUGAGCCAGCAGGUCUCAGCAUAAAAAGCAGAGCAAGCCCGAGAGGAUGAGGAGAGAGCCUUCUCAUCCCUGUCUCUUCUCAGUCACAGGAACCUUGAGCCACAUCCAAAGGGUGCCUGGUGGCUGCUCGCAGACUUCUCAGCAUGACGACAGUAACUGCCGUGGGAAGUGGAUCUCCCAGGGGGCAACAAUCGCUGCAGGAAGCCCGGCUCUCCACAGUGCAGUCUUCUCUGUGGAUGCGACGGUGAAUUCUUGGUACCUGUGAAGCCCCAGCAGGUGUGCAAUUUCCAGAUGUAAACUAUCCUUAAAUUACAACUUUCCCAACCAACUAUGCAGCAGACGUACCUGCUCCUCUCUCGUGUUGAUGAAAAUGAGAUGUGAAGACUUGUCUUCACAGAAAAGUUUUGCAUCCUCAAAAAUGUCUUUCUCUACUGAAAAAUA